AAUCAACGCUGGCGGCGUGCCUCAGACAUGCAAGUCGAACGCGAAAGUUUCCUUCGGGAAGCGAGUAGAGUGGCGCACGGGUGAGUAACACGUAAGUAAUCUACCCUUGGGUGGGGAAUAACAUCGGGAAACCGAUGCUAAUACCGCAUAAUGCAGCGGCUUCAUAUGAAGACAGUUGUUAAAGCAUUUAUGUGCCUGAGGAGGAGCUUGCGGCAGAUUAGCUAGUUGGUAAGGUAAUGGCUUACCAAGGCAACGAUCUGUAGCCGACCUGAGAGGGUGGUCGGUCACACUGACACUGAAUAACGGGUCAGACUCCUACGGGAGGCAGCAGUCGGGAAUUUUGGGCAAUGGGCGCAAGCCUGACCCAGCAACGCCGCGUGAAGGAUGAAG
This 390-nucleotide ribosomal RNA is filed under the name uncultured bacterium. Its description in RNAcentral is "bacterial SSU rRNA". It matches the Rfam family "Bacterial small subunit ribosomal RNA", at positions 32 to 413 of the family's 1533-position model. The record is from RNAcentral.